This 1107-nucleotide long non-coding RNA is filed under the name Triticum aestivum (bread wheat). RNAcentral describes it as "long non-coding RNA (TAES_LNC004484)". Lineage: Eukaryota; Viridiplantae; Streptophyta; Magnoliopsida; Poales; Poaceae. The record is from RNAcentral.
UAUAAUUCCCACAUCUUAAACUUCGAUAAUUCCAAUAUCAAUUUAUGCACAUACAUUUCUCGAAAAAGAAACAAAUACAAGCUUUAAGAAAGGAAAACAAAAAAUUCUCAUGUGUCCAUAAGAAGCGGCUAAGAUCAACAUACAUCUUGACCAGUACCAUCUUAUCCUGGGCGUACCCACAAAGGACAUGAACUAAAUCCUAGGUCUGCAGUUGCAUCUACUACAUAUUUUUAAUUGUUCUAAAAAAUAUAAGACACAAUGCACCUGUGAUCUUCAAGAAUGGAAAUCUGAUAUGUCGUUAAAACGUGUGCAGCAUGUCUAACUCGGCAGGAUCUACAGAGAUAAUCAUUUUCUCAGAACAUGGAAGACAAUUUUCUGCAACUGAUCGACAGCUCAUGGAAUACCACAUGUUACAAGGCAGCAACCUGGAUACAAUACUGCCUCGUCUUAAGCAGCCUCUCCAGAUCUCCAAGCCGUGCCUUCUCCACAGAUAACCCCUCCCCAGAUUCUUGCAAUGAGGAGAUUGAUGUUAUUGGACAAAACACAACCAAAUCUAUUAGUAUAUGUGGAGAGAAAGAAACACGUACCUGCAUUUGUAGUUGUGCAGCGCGGCAAGAGCCCUAGAGAGCAGUAGCACCGGCUCGAUCUGUACCUAAAGCUGAUCCUUUUGCCGCUAGAUGCCCUCGGUGGCCUCCCUCCUCCCGACGACGAGCUCGUAUGGCCGCGCCCGCUGCAGCUCGAGCCGCCACCUCAUCUCCAUGCAUGUUGUACGGUGGUGGACGCCUCCGCGGCCCUGGCAUGGCCUGCAUCCCUCUUACUCGCCUUGUCUGAAUCAGCAGCGGCCCCGGCUACCACGGGAGAUUCCUCACUCCCGCUUGGCAACCUCCUCCUCGCAGCCAUUGCGGCGUCUCCUGCUGGUCAGGAAGCGCCUGUGUCUGUGUGACUUGCUCCCGUCACAUGGCCCCAGGGUCUUCCUUAUCAUCAUCGUUGUCGCUUGGCCGCAAUACCUGCCUUCCCCGCCAGACCGGAAUGUCGGAUCUGAAUUCACCGUGGGGUUUGGGAGAGGGGACUCAGGGGAGACGGGGCGGCGGGGUAGAUGGGAGCAGA